Long non-coding RNA from Diceros bicornis minor, 1180 nucleotides. RefSeq lists it as uncharacterized. NCBI's taxonomy places the organism in Eukaryota, Metazoa, Chordata, Mammalia, Perissodactyla, Rhinocerotidae. The record is from RefSeq and is a predicted model, not a curated record. The transcript has 3 exons.
GAUUUGCCAGAAGCCAGCCCUGGGAGGUGAGGAGGAGGAGUGUGGUGUUCUUGGGGUGUGAAGGGAGGAGGAAUUGAGGGGAGACUGCUGAGGGUCCUAGGCUGCUCCCCGUGGGAACCCUUGGGUGGGCCAGGAUGCUGAGGACUUUUCAGGGGAGGGUAUGCAGGGGGUCGACUUGAGAGCAAGGGCUCAUCCCACCUGCACCCCGAUGUCACAGAGUGUCAUCCCCUAUCUUGGCAUUUUCCUCGGCGACCUGCUGAUGCUGCACCUGGCGAUGGGUGAUUAUCUUGAAGUGGAUGAAUCUGAGGACCAGGCAGGGAGGACCAGGAUCCUGAGCCUUGGGAUGCGAAAGCCCCCGAACUGAGCUCUGAGCUCUCAGCACUUGGCACAUCUCCUCUCAUGAGAGCCUCCCAGCCGCCCCUGGGAGCUGGGGCAUCAGGCCCAUCUUAGGGAUGAGUGAACAGAGGCUCUGCCUGAGACAUCCAUUCCGGUUCUCCAGGCUGGGGAAGCUCAGAGCUGCUUGAUGGCACAGCUGCAUGAGGUUUUAUCUGAGCUGGACUCAGCCUCUCCCUCCCAUGCUGCCCAUGGAGGGAGAGAGAAGUUGGGACCCCCAAGUCAGGCAACACAUAAGUUGCUGAGCAGUCCCCUCUGCCUGAGGCCUCAGCCUCCAAGUCUGUCAUCAGAGAGGGUUGUGCUGCCAGGUCCCUCAGCCUCACCCCCAUGGCCUCCUUCUCUGGAGCCCAGAGCCCGGCCUAGUUCCAAAUCCUGUUUUCUGUGCAUGCUCGGCCACCUCUGGGGACCUGGCAGUCGUGCACCAUGAGAAGGGGUGGACAUAGGGGGCUAGUCAGGCUAGGGGGCUCUGUCUGAUGGACUCUGGCUCUCUGCCUUCCAGGGGAAUGAGAUCAACCUUGAGAAGAGGACUGAGGAAUAAUACCGAGUCAUGAGGGAGAUCCUGCUGCUCCAGGUCACCGCAAAGAAUUAUACCAAGACCCCGAGGAGUGAUUUGGGGCCUGGUUCCAGGACAUGGAGUUGCUCAACGAGAAUGAUAGGCUGCCAUGAUCCUCCCUUUGGACUCCAUGGUCAGGGUCGCUGCAGAGAUCCUCCCUUUGGACCCCGCCUGCCUGAAGGGCCUCUACCUUGGUCAGGCAUCUUUGAAGGACUGCCGUGAGCCAUGUCACAA